AUUGAACGCUGGCGGCAGGCCUAACACAUGCAAGUCGAACGGUAACAGGGAUCAGCUUGCUGAUUCGCUGACGAGUGGCGGACGGGUGAGUAAUGUCUGGGAAACUGCCUGAUGGAGGGGGAUAACUACUGGAAACGGUAGCUAAUACCGCAUAACGUCGCAAGACCAAAGAGGGGGACCUUCGGGCCUCUUGCCAUCGGAUGUGCCCAGAUGGGAUUAGCUAGUAGGUGGGGUAACGGCUCACCUAGGCGACGAUCCCUAGCUGGUCUGAGAGGAUGACCAGCCACACUGGAACUGAGACACGGUCCAGACUCCUACGGGAGGCAGCAGUGGGGACUAUUGCACAAUGGGCGCAAGCCUGAUGCAGCCAUGCCGCGUGUAUGAAGAAGGCCUUCGGGUUGUAAAGUACUUUCAGCGGGGAGGAAGGGAGUAAAGUUAAUACCUUUGCUCAUUGACGUUACCCGCAGAAGAAGCACCGGCUAACUCCGUG
This 490-nucleotide ribosomal RNA is filed under the name uncultured bacterium. Its description in RNAcentral is "partial 16S ribosomal RNA". It matches the Rfam family "Bacterial small subunit ribosomal RNA", at positions 30 to 507 of the family's 1533-position model. The record is from RNAcentral.